RNAcentral lists this transfer RNA (70 nucleotides) under Danionella translucida. It matches the Rfam family "tRNA". Rfam says of the family: Transfer RNA (tRNA) molecules are approximately 80 nucleotides in length. The record is from Rfam by way of RNAcentral. Lineage: Eukaryota; Metazoa; Chordata; Actinopteri; Cypriniformes; Danionidae. RNAcentral also lists the same sequence under 1 other name.
UUUCCUGUGGCUCAGUUGGUAGAACAUUGUGCUUGCAAUGCAAAGAUUGUCAGUUCAAAUCCCAGGGAAA